Molecule: microRNA precursor, 163 nt
Filed under: Oryza brachyantha (malo sina)
Lineage: Eukaryota; Viridiplantae; Streptophyta; Magnoliopsida; Poales; Poaceae
Description: MIR812 microRNA precursor family
Rfam family: MIR812 microRNA precursor family
Source: Rfam by way of RNAcentral
UACAAUGUUUUGACUCUUCGUUUUAUUUGAAAUUUUUUGUGAUUAAUAUUUUUAUUCUUACUAGAUGAUGAAACAUGAAUAAUACUUUAUGUGUGACUAAUUUUUUUAAGUUUCUAUAUAAAUUUUUCAAAUAAGACAAAUGAUUAAACGUUGGACACGGAAA